This is an RNA transcript of Cucurbita moschata (crookneck pumpkin), 1284 nucleotides long. It is a transcript of the gene named AUGMIN subunit 1, with no coding region annotated. The transcript is spliced from 7 exons. Lineage: Eukaryota; Viridiplantae; Streptophyta; Magnoliopsida; Cucurbitales; Cucurbitaceae. The record is from RefSeq and is a predicted model, not a curated record.
CCUUCGAAAAUUAGAGGGAAACUUGUUUUCAGUGCAAUCGUCGCUUGCAGAUCCAACGGGAUAUUCGAAAGCCGUCACCGAUCUCUUCCACUGCAAUCUCCGGCUCCCAUUUUUUAAUUUUCUCUCAACAAAGGGAUCACAAAUCAUCCCAUUUUUCGAUCAAGUAUGAGCGAUAUGAUUUCACAGGCGGGGGAUUCCGAUUCGAAAUUGGGAUCAGAUCCAACCAGUCGAAUCAACGAAGUGAAGGAGUGGUUGGGAUCCGAAUUUGGGAGGGCUGGUAAAGAAGUUCCCGAUUUUGAAUACACGCCUCGAAGCGUCUCUCAUUUGCAUAAUCUCUGCACGCUUUCGCAAGCCAAGACGCGCGCUGCUGAGAUUCUUGCCAAAGACUUCCGCCUCAAGGCCGCCGAGUACCGCGCCCAAGCGGCGAGGAUCAGGGAGAUUUUAGAGAGCGUGGGGAUGGCGCAGGAGAAUUUGCCCUCCAAUGUGGUUUCAUCGGCGCAGGUUCUUGCGAAUGUGGCGAAUUUAUUGAACAUUAGGGAUACUGAGCUCAGUAGCUUUCUGGUUGCAAUGGGUGAUAUCACUUUGAGGAAAAUUAGUGUUGAGGAGAAGAGGACGAAGGUGGAAAAGGAUUCUAAAGUUCUUCUUGAUCAUACGCGAAAGGCAAUUGCAAGACUGACAUAUUUGAAGAGAACACUAGCACAGCUAGAAGAUGAUGUAGCUCCAUGUGAAUCUCAAAUGGAUAAUUGGAAGACAAAUUUGGCUGUAAUGGCUGCCAAGGAGAGGCAGUACAUGCAGCAAUGUGCAAACUACAAGGCAAUGCUUAACCGUGUGGGUUACUCACCAGAUAUUAGCCAUGGGGUACUGGUUGAAAUGGCUGAGCACAGGAAAGAGUUGGAGAAGAAAACUAAGCCCAUCCUUGAUACUUUAAGGAGCUACCAAGAUCUGCCCCCUGAUAAAGCUUUGGCUGCUUUAGCAAUUGAGGAUAAGAAAAGACAGUAUGCAGCAGCUGAAAAGUAUCUUGAAGAUGUGCUUCAUUCCGCGCUCACCACGACGCACUAGCUUCGCUUGGACAGCCUUAAGCUUGUCGGUAAAUUGUUGUGUUGUUUGUGCGUUAAUUUUAGUAGAUGAUAGUGAAGAAAGGUGUAUAGUCAAUAUUGAGGAUUAUGCAUGUUUGGAAUGCUGGCAACUGAGUAUAUUUUGUAACAUUAUGACAUUAGGAACUUGAGUUCCUUGUUAUGAAUAUAGUUUCUUUUGUUUUUUAGAAUGGUACAUAGAUUUGAAGAA